This 72-nucleotide transfer RNA is filed under the name Ovis aries (sheep). It matches the Rfam family "tRNA". From Rfam's summary of the family: Transfer RNA (tRNA) molecules are approximately 80 nucleotides in length. Their secondary structure includes four short double-helical elements and three loops (D, anti-codon, and T loops). Lineage: Eukaryota; Metazoa; Chordata; Mammalia; Artiodactyla; Bovidae. The record is from Rfam by way of RNAcentral.
UCCUUGGUGGUUCAGUGGUUAAGAAUCUGCCUUCCAAUGCAGGGGUCAUGGGUUCGAUCCCUGAUCAAGGAA